AACGUAGGAGACAAACGUUAUCCGGAGUUAUUGGGCGUAAAGAGCUCGUAGGCGGUUUGUCGCGUCUGCUGUGAAAACCCGGGGCUCAACCUCGGGCCUGCAGUGGGUACGGGCAGACUAGAGUGCGGUAGGGGAGAUUGGAAUUCCUGGUGUAGCGGUGGAAUGCGCAGAUAUCAGGAGGAACACCGAUGGCGAAGGCAGAUCUCUGGGCCGUAACUGACGCUGAGGAGCGAAAGCGUGGGGAGCGAACAGG
This 253-nucleotide ribosomal RNA is filed under the name uncultured bacterium. RNAcentral's name for it is "partial 16S ribosomal RNA". It matches the Rfam family "Bacterial small subunit ribosomal RNA", at positions 524 to 776 of the family's 1533-position model. The record is from RNAcentral.